ACGGGAGGCAGCAGUGGGAAUAUUGCACAAUGGGCGGAAGCCUGAUGCAGCAACGCCGCGUGCGGGAUGACGGCCUUCGGGUUGUAAACCGCUUUCGCCUGUGACGAAGCGUGAGUGACGGUAAUGGGUAAAGAAGCACCGGCUAACUACGUGCCAGCAGCCGCGGUGAUACGUAGGGUGCGAGCGUUGUCCGGAUUUAUUGGGCGUAAAGGGCUCGUAGGUGGUUAUCGCGUCG
Molecule: ribosomal RNA, 235 nt
Filed under: Porphyridium aerugineum
Lineage: Eukaryota; Rhodophyta; Bangiophyceae; Porphyridiales; Porphyridiaceae
Description: partial Bacterial small subunit ribosomal RNA
Rfam family: Bacterial small subunit ribosomal RNA
Source: RNAcentral